Molecule: long non-coding RNA, 388 nt
Organism: Fundulus heteroclitus (mummichog)
Lineage: Eukaryota; Metazoa; Chordata; Actinopteri; Cyprinodontiformes; Fundulidae
Exons: 3
Source: RefSeq, a predicted model, not a curated record
UCUUGUUUUGAAAGCUGCUGGAAUGGCGCUUUUCCUUCUAGCUCUAGGACCUUUUUUUUUUUUUUAUAUGUCAAACAAAUGCAUUACACAUUUCCCAACACACACCAACACAUGGAGAUAUAAGCAGAUACAGAAAGAAAAGAAGAGAGACUAACCUCGAGAGACAGGAGCAGGAGUAGAAAAGCAAGCAAAAGCCAGACUUGUGAUGCUCACCCAUAGGCAGGAAAAACAGAAAACAAUGGAGGCUUUGACAGAUGGAGCUCGGCCGCGGCUCGGCGUUCAACACCACAUAAAGCUUCAUUCACUGUGUUCCUCCACCUGUGAUGCAUCACAUCUCUGCCACCUGACUGGAAACUACCUAUGUGACGUAGACUCAUCAGUGCAAUAA